GCCUGAGUAGUAAUAGUUAUGUUCUCGAAACUUAAAAAAUUUGGCGGUAUUUUAGUCUAUUCAGAGGAACCUGUCCUAUAAUCGAUAAUCCACGGUGGACCUUACUUGCCCUUGCAUACAGUUUAUAUACCGUCGUUAGCAGAAUAUUUUUAGAGAAUAAUAAUUUUCAUUAAACUUUAUAAAGUUUUAUAUCAGAUCAAGGUGUAGCUAAUGGGUAAGGAGAGAUGGGUUACAAUAAGAUUACUUAUAUGGAAGAGAGUAUGCAAACCUCUCGGAAAGUGGAUUUGAAAGUAAAUUUGUAAAGACAAACAAGUUGACUUUAGCUCUAAAAUAUGCACACAUCGCCCGUCGCUCUUAUUACUAAGGUAAGAUAAGUCGUAACAUAGUAGACGUACCGGAAGGUGUGUCUAGAAUGUCAACUUGAAGCUUAAUUAGAAAAGUUUUUCAUUUACAUUGAAAGGAUUUAUGUGCAAAUCAUUGCAGGUUGAUUGAAAUUUCAUUAUUGAUUUUGUUAUUUAUUAGGAAGGUAUUAAAAAUAAUUAUAAUAACUUAGGUUUUAGUACCGUCUAGGGAAAAAAUAAUUUAAAUUAUAGUGAAUUAGUAUUGUAAAAGACUUGUGAAAUACGUGAAAAA
RNAcentral lists this ribosomal RNA (633 nucleotides) under Coremacera marginata. RNAcentral's name for it is "partial 12S ribosomal RNA". The stretch from base 417 to 488 matches the Rfam family "tRNA". Lineage: Eukaryota; Metazoa; Arthropoda; Insecta; Diptera; Sciomyzidae. The record is from RNAcentral.